Molecule: ribosomal RNA, 872 nt
Filed under: uncultured bacterium
Lineage: Bacteria
Description: bacterial SSU rRNA
Rfam family: Bacterial small subunit ribosomal RNA
Source: RNAcentral
GAACGCUGGCGGCGUGGAUAAGACAUGCAAGUCGAGCGCUGAUUACGGGGUAGCAAUAUUCCGUAGUCGGAGCGGCGCAAGGGUGCGUAACACGUGGGUAAUCUGCCAUGAAGUUUGGAAUAACUUGCUGAAAGGCGAGCUAAUGCCGGAUGUGAAAGCCGAGAGGCAUCUCUUGGUUUUUAAAGCUGGGGACCGUAAGGCCUGGCGCUUCAUGAUGAACCCGCGGCCUAUCAGCUAGUUGGUGAGGUAACGGCCCACCAAGGCUAAGACGGGUAGCUGGUCUGAGAGGACGACCAGCCACACUGGAACUGAGACACGGUCCAGACACCUACGGGUGGCAGCAGUCGAGAAUUUUUCACAAUGGGCGCAAGCCUGAUGGAGCGACGCCGCGUGGGGGAUGAAUGGCUUCGGCCCGUAAACCCCUGUCAUUUGCGAUCAACCGUUAUUAUUUAAAAGAUGAUGACCUGAUAGUAGCGAAAGAGGAAGGGACGGCUAACUCUGUGCCAGCAGCCGCGGUAAUACAGAGGUCCCAAGCGUUGUUCGGAUUCACUGGGCGUAAAGGGUGCGUAGGUGGCAAGGUAAGUCGGAUGUGAAAUCUCCGAGCUCAACUCGGAAAUGGCAUUGGAAACUGCUUUGCUCGAGGGUUGGAGGGGGGACUGGAAUGCUUGGUGUAGCAGUGAAAUGCGUAGAUAUCAAGCGGAACACCAGUGGCGAAGGCGAGUCCCUGGACAACUCCUGUCACUGAGGCACGAAAGCUAGGGGAGCAAACAGGAUUAGAUACCCUGGUAGUCCUAGCCGUAAACGGUGCACGUUUGCUGUAAGAGGAAUCGACCCCUUUUGUGGCGUAGCCAACGCGUUAAACGUGCCGCCUG